This 207-nucleotide ribosomal RNA is filed under the name uncultured bacterium. RNAcentral's name for it is "partial 16S ribosomal RNA". It matches the Rfam family "Bacterial small subunit ribosomal RNA", at positions 568 to 774 of the family's 1533-position model. The record is from RNAcentral.
CGCGUAGGCGGUCUGUUAAGUCCGAUGUUAAAGCCCGGGGCUCAACCCCGGCACGGCGUUGGAUACUGGCAGGCUUGACGGCUGGAGAGGCGAGUGGAAUUACCAGUGUAGCGGUGGAAUGCGUAGAUACUGGUAGGAACACCUAUGGCGAAGGCAGCUCGCUGGACAGCACGUGACGCUGAGGCGCGAAAGUGUGGGGAGCAAACC